This 165-nucleotide ribosomal RNA is filed under the name Parianella lanceolata. Its description in RNAcentral is "5.8S ribosomal RNA". The stretch from base 1 to 102 matches the Rfam family "5.8S ribosomal RNA", at positions 55 to 154 of the family's 154-position model. Rfam says of the family: 5.8S ribosomal RNA (5.8S rRNA) is a component of the large subunit of the eukaryotic ribosome. It is transcribed by RNA polymerase I as part of the 45S precursor that also contains 18S and 28S rRNA. The record is from RNAcentral. Lineage: Eukaryota; Viridiplantae; Streptophyta; Magnoliopsida; Poales; Poaceae.
GCGAUACAUGGUGUGAAUUGCAGAAUCCCGCGAACCAUCGAGUCUUUGAACGCAAGUUGCGCCCGAGGCCAUCCGGCCGAGGGCACGCCUGCCUGGGCGUCACGCCAAAAGGCGCUCCCAAACCCCCCAGGGGGCGAGGGACGCGGUGUCUGGCUCCCCGCGCCG